GAACGAGAAAGUGGAGCAAUCCAUGAGUAAAGUGGCGACCGGGUGAGUAACACGUGACUAACCUGCCCUAGAGUGGGGGAUAACCUCGGGAAACCGGGGCUAAUACCGCAUAACAUCGCGAGGGGAAGAUCCUUGCGAUCAAAGGAGCAAUUCGCUCAAGGAGGGGGUCGCGGCUGAUUAGCUAGUUGGUGAGGUAACGGCCCACCAAGGCGAAGAUCAGUAGCCGGCCUGAGAGGGCGCACGGCCACACUGGAACUGAAACACGGUCCAGACUCCUACGGGAGGCAGCAGUGGGGAAUUUUGCGCAAUGGGGGAAACCCUGACGCAGCAACGCCGCGUGGAGGAUGAAGUCCCUUGGGAUGUAAACUCCUUUCGAUCGGGACGAUAAUGGCGGUACCGGAAGAAGAAGCACCGGCUAACUCUGUG
RNAcentral lists this ribosomal RNA (426 nucleotides) under uncultured bacterium. RNAcentral describes it as "bacterial SSU rRNA". It matches the Rfam family "Bacterial small subunit ribosomal RNA", at positions 64 to 507 of the family's 1533-position model. The record is from RNAcentral.